UGGCGGACGGGUGAGUAAUGUCUGGGAAACUGCCUGAUGGAGGGGGAUAACUACUGGAAACGGUAGCUAAUACCGCAUAACGUCGCAAGACCAAAGAGGGGGACCUUGGGCCUCUUGCCAUCGGAUGUGCCCAGAUGGGAUUAGCUAGUAGGUGGGGUAAAGGCUCACCUAGGCACGAUCCCUAGCUGGUCUGAGAGGAUGACCAGCCACACUGGAACUGAGACACGGUCCAG
Molecule: ribosomal RNA, 233 nt
Filed under: uncultured bacterium
Lineage: Bacteria
Description: partial 16S ribosomal RNA
Rfam family: Bacterial small subunit ribosomal RNA
Source: RNAcentral